RNAcentral lists this transfer RNA (73 nucleotides) under Ixodes scapularis (black-legged tick). It matches the Rfam family "tRNA". From Rfam's summary of the family: Transfer RNA (tRNA) molecules are approximately 80 nucleotides in length. Their secondary structure includes four short double-helical elements and three loops (D, anti-codon, and T loops). Further hydrogen bonds mediate the characteristic L-shaped molecular structure. tRNAs have two regions of fundamental functional importance: the anti-codon, which is responsible for specific mRNA codon recognition, and the 3' end, to which the tRNAs corresponding amino acid is attached (by aminoacyl-tRNA synthetases). tRNAs cope with the degeneracy of the genetic code in two manners: having more than one tRNA (with a specific anti-codon) for a particular amino acid; and 'wobble' base-pairing, i.e. permitting non-standard base-pairing at the 3rd anti-codon position. Lineage: Eukaryota; Metazoa; Arthropoda; Arachnida; Ixodida; Ixodidae. The record is from Rfam by way of RNAcentral.
UCCUGGUGGGCUCAGUUGGUAGAGCGCUCCACCUGUAAUGAAUAGGUUCCGGGCUCGAUACCCGGACCAGGCG